CCUACGGGAGGCAGCAGUAGGGAAUCUUCCACAAUGGGCGAAAGCCUGAUGGAGCAACGCCGCGUGAGUGAUGAAGGCCUUCGGGUUGUAAAACUCUGUCAUUCGGGACGAACCGGAGUCUGAGGAAAUGCAGACUCUCUGACGGUACCGGAGGAGGAAGCCCCGGCUAACUACGUGCCAGCAGCCGCGGUAAUACGUAGGGGGCAAGCGUUGUCCGGAUUCACUGGGCGUAAAGCGCGCGCAGGCGGUGAUGUAAGUCUGAGGUGAAAACCCGAAGCUCAACUUCGGGACUGCCUUGGAUACUGCGUCACUUGAGGAUAGGAGAGGCAAGGGGAAUUCCACGUGUAGCGGUGAAAUGCGUAGAGAUGUGGAGGAACACCUGUGGCGAAGGCGCCUUGCUGGCCUAUUUCUGACGCUGAGGCGCGAAAGCGUGGGGAGCAAACAGGAUUAGAUACCCUGGUAGUCCACGCUGUAAACGAUGAGUGCUAGGUGUAGGUGGGCUCAUACCCAUCUGUGCCGAAGCUAACGCAUUAAGCNCNCCGCCGCGGGAGGUACGGUCGCGAGACGUAGAACGUACAAGUAGAAGUUAGACGGCGUUGAGGACGNGCCGACGGACGACGACGAGGGGAGGUAGGG
Molecule: ribosomal RNA, 636 nt
Filed under: uncultured bacterium
Lineage: Bacteria
Description: bacterial SSU rRNA
Rfam family: Bacterial small subunit ribosomal RNA (bases 1-544)
Source: RNAcentral